AGGUGACUGUAUUCAGGCGACACCCACCCUUCUGGUACUUAUUUUAUUUCCAAAUGAUCACGAUGUUCAGCUCCAUGAGUUUUGUCACACGUCAAGUCACGUGGCCACCACCUGGCUGGGUAGUGAUGGGUACAUAAGCCUCCCAUCACCCCCAAACAUUUCCCCCGUCUGUUCACUCGGGUUGCACAGCACCCCUCUUGUGCCCCUGGCAACCACAGAUCUGUUCUCCGUCAUUCACAUUCUGUCUCCUCGAGAAUGUCACAAAAAUGGAAUGGUACACUGUGGGACAUUCCGGGACUCGGUCCACUCACCAAUGCAGCGCUUCCGGCACGCCUCCAAGCUGCUGUGUGUACCACUGCUCAGCCCCCUGCCUGCUGCUGUUAACUGGUACCAGCAUGGCAGCGUAACUGCCCUAAUGUCAAAGAUGUGGGCAAGGGUGGAACAAUCCUAUUAUGUGCCUGAGAAAGCAGCCGUGAUUUAUUUUAAAGAAUCCUGGAGGAGGUUCCAACUGCUUCCGUGUGAUCAACGUGGACACACUCGCAAUUCAACGGCCACCAUUCCUUCAGGCUGACUCAGCUGGUGGCUUCCCGAGAGCCCAAUCCCUCCAUGCCCCCUGGGUUUUUGUCCUGAAGAUUGGCAGAGUGACAAGUUCUGUUUCCCUGUGUUCUCUGGCGACAAGCACCAGCCUCUUCAGCAAGAUACCUGUGCAGGAAAAGGCAUGAGGGCAGAUAAAAUGCUCUGUGAUGUAGCAAAGCCACGUGGGAACAAUUGCUGCAGCUUACAAAGGGCAAGAAGAGUGCCAGAUGGAGCCCCAUCUAAGCCCCCCUCCCCCGCCAGCUGUUGGGCUCAGCUCAGGUAUAUGUUUACCUGCCUGAUGUGCCAAGGCACUGAGCUGCCCUACCUGGCCGGACCGUGGGCAGUAAGGAUGGUGACCACCAUGCCUGUCUGCCACUCGUCCUGGGAGUGACAUGGUCAUGUCUGCCCUGCACCCACACCUGUUUUCAGUGUGCCAAUCACACUAGCUGUGAGUACAGACAGCCCACUCUUGAACCAACUGUUCACCUACAGCUGGGCGUGUGCCAGGAGCCACAGGCUUUCUCUUCACUCUGAAGCCUGUGGUGACUCCAGAGUUGUGACCCCCUCUGUGGUUUGUGGCUGCUGCCUGGCACAGUCUCACCCUCCCCACCACAGCCCUCCUAAAGCACAGUUGAGCUAAUUCUGGGCUCCCUGCCACCCUUGCAAGCCCACGCUGCACUUGCUCUGACUCAUGCCGAGGUGCCCAGAAGCAAGCUCAGGAGAGACGCUGCAAGGCACCUGCUGGGCCCUGGGCAGCAGCUGGGACUCCAACCUCAGGCUCUUGAAGGAUCCAUAGUUAGCUCUGAGGUCUCCCAACGACCUUCACCCAAUCUCCGUGGAAGAUAAACCCAAAUGUCAAGUUCUGUAAGCUGCACAGACACCAACUUCAUAAUGUAGAUCCACUGAGACCCUGGAGUUAAAUGUUUGCUCUUUAUAAUCAAGACCCACUUCAGUGUGUGGCGAAAUCUUCUGACAUUGACAAAGUUCUCAGACACAAAAAGCAUUACACCAAAAAUGAAGAUUAUAGGUAUCUAAUGGUUCCAGCCAACCUGCUUCAAACGCUAUUUUCUGAACACCUAUUCAGGCUCUUUUCCUCCAUGUCUUUAAACUCAAAGCCAUCAACACCAGAGCCUCAGACUGUCGGGGGAAGAGGCCUACAUUCCUGGCCCACCUCUGACAGGUAAGAAUGGAAUACUAGAGGAGAGAGAAGCAGGGACAGCCACAUCUGUCCAGAGGUGACAGAGGAAAGACAGCCCAGAAGAGUCACCUCAGGGUGGCCUGUGGGUAGUUGGCUAGGGGAACAGGCCCUCUGGACAGACAGGACAUGGUUGUGAGGCCUAUGGUUCUGUUUGGAGAGUAAGGAGAAUUAAGGCUGGACCUGGGGGUUUGUGAGGGAAGGGAGGUUGGAGAUGGUUAAACGUGAACAUGUUGGCCAGGCUCUGAAGGGCUCAUAGGGCUGCCUCUGCAUAGGCGGGGCUAAAGGAAGGAUACAGGGAAGAACCAAAUGGCUAGAUUGGUAGCAUUUCACCAGCUGGCCCCUUGGUCCCUAAAGAUCACACCUCUCUGAAAGGACAAUCUAUGUCUUUAAGAGGCCUUGGAUAGCUGCAUGUUCAGAAAGGACAACCUUAAUAAACAGGUUAAGUUACUUAUGUACA
This 2231-nucleotide long non-coding RNA is filed under the name Mus spicilegus (steppe mouse). RNAcentral describes it as "lncRNA (ENSMSIG00000006200.1)". The record is from RNAcentral. Lineage: Eukaryota; Metazoa; Chordata; Mammalia; Rodentia; Muridae.